UACAGAGGGGGCAAGCGUUGUUCGGAAUUAUUGGGCGUAAAGAGCGCGCAGGCGGUCGUUCAAGUCGCGUGUGAAAGCCCCCGGCUCAACUGGGGAGGGUCACGCGAUACUGAUCGACUCGAAGGCAGGAGAGGGUAGUGGAAUUCCCGGUGUAGUGGUGAAAUGCGUAGAUAUCGGGAGGAACACCAGUGGCGAAGGCGACUACCUGGCCUGUUUCUUGACGCUGAGGCGCGAAAGCUAGGGGAGCAAACAGG
Molecule: ribosomal RNA, 254 nt
Filed under: uncultured bacterium
Lineage: Bacteria
Description: partial 16S ribosomal RNA
Rfam family: Bacterial small subunit ribosomal RNA
Source: RNAcentral